GCAUGGUAGUAUUUGCAUUCCAGAAUUUAGGUUGCUCUUUUGUGUACCCUACUUAGGUUAAUGUAUCUAAACAGUGUGAUUGGACAAAAAAUACAGUAUCAACUGAACAUACUUUCCCAAACUGAGGGAUGAAUCAGGUGUAGAAAAAUAUGAAAUAAUUUUACAUACAGAUGAAAAUGAAUUUUUGAGAAUUUUUUUUAAUUUUUUAUUCACUGCACCAUAAAAGACCUAAAAGUACUAGUGGCCUUAGGUUUUUAAAAAUAGCAAAAAAAGUAAACGGUCAUGAUACAUAUUCAAAUUCAUUUCUGAAUAGUAAAAUGAAAGUACUUCAGUUAUCUGUGAAUGUAGAUUUUUUUGCAGUGUUAGAAAGUGGUGAAAAUUCUAAAAAGGCUAUCAUUAUCCCUUAUGGGCCAGGAAAUACUACCGUGCCACCUAGACGGUUACAAUGUACCAAAUAAAAUUACAUGGGCGCAGCCAUUUUAUGAAGGGAACAUGACAUAGAGAUAAAAAUAGAUGGCUCUCUGUGAUUGGUUGUUAUAUCUUUUAUAUAUUUUUCUUCUGGAAAGCAUUAUGAAUGAAGUUUCAUGCAAGCACAAAUUUGUCCUUAAAUGUAUAGUAUGAAGGGCCGGAAAUAUUUUUUUUAUGUUGCUCAAAAUUAGGGAAAUUUUUCUGCGAAAUCGUCAGGUAUCGUGAAAAACCCCAAAAUUCACCAAGAAAAGCCAUGGGACCAUAUAUAUUUGAGUGCGGUAAAAUCGCAAAUAGAUAUCGAGCUUCAAUUAGACAACAGCAGUUUUUCCAUAAUUAGUUUAUUAAAAGCGCCUUUUAAGGAGAUAAUUGCUAAAAAUAGCAUUGCCGGCAAUGGGGCC
RNAcentral lists this long non-coding RNA (866 nucleotides) under Mytilus galloprovincialis (Mediterranean mussel). Lineage: Eukaryota; Metazoa; Mollusca; Bivalvia; Mytilida; Mytilidae. The record is from RNAcentral.